Molecule: ribosomal RNA, 397 nt
Filed under: uncultured bacterium
Lineage: Bacteria
Description: bacterial SSU rRNA
Rfam family: Bacterial small subunit ribosomal RNA
Source: RNAcentral
AUUGAACGCUGGCGGCAGGCCUAACACAUGCAAGUCGAACGGUAGCACAGAGAGCUUGCUCUUGGGUGACGAGUGGCGGACGGGUGAGUAAUGUCUGGGAAACUGCCCGAUGGAGGGGGAUAACUACUGGAAACGGUAGCUAAUACCGCAUAACGUCGCAAGACCAAAGUGGGGGGACCUUCGGGCCUCACACCAUCGGAUGUGCCCAGAUGGGAUUAGCUAGUAGGUGGGGUAAUGGACUCACCUAGGCGACGAUCCCUAGCUGGUCUGAGAGGAUGACCAGCCACACUGGAACUGAGACACGGUCCAGACUCCUACGGGAGGCAGCAGUGGGGAAUAUUGCACAAUGGGCGCAAGCCUGAUGCAGCCAUGCCGCGUGUAUGAAGAAGGCCUCGGG